UCAUUCAGUUGGGCACUCUAGCGAGACUGCCGGUAAUAAACCGGAGGAAGGUGGGAUGACGUCAAAUCAUCAUGCCCUUAUGACCUGGGCUACACACGUGCUACAAUGGUUGGUACAACGAGUUGCGAGUCGGUGACGGCGAGCUAAUCUCUUAAAGCCAAUCUCAGUUCGGAUUGUAGGCUGCAACUCGCCUACAUGAAGUCGGAAUCGCUAGUAAUCGCGGAUCAGCACGCCGCGGUGAAUACGCUCCCGGGCCUU
RNAcentral lists this ribosomal RNA (258 nucleotides) under uncultured Streptococcus sp. RNAcentral's name for it is "partial 16S ribosomal RNA". It matches the Rfam family "Bacterial small subunit ribosomal RNA", at positions 1121 to 1382 of the family's 1533-position model. Lineage: Bacteria; Bacillati; Bacillota; Bacilli; Lactobacillales; Streptococcaceae. The record is from RNAcentral.